GGAGAGGGCAGACGCGAUCCCGGGGCAGGCUGGGAGAUGUAGUUCCUGAUGCUCCCUGGACCGGAAGUGACGUUGAUGGAGAGACCAAACCGAUCUGCAAACGCGCGCGAGCCGCUGCGGCUCUGCCUGGCUCGCGCGGGGCCGUUGGAGCCUCUCCCGGGCCGCAGAAGGGUGUGUGACUGAGAUCAGGACUCUUAUCGUACUGAGCGUGGCCCUGUUCUCCAGGCGCUGCAGAGACCCCAGCUUUCAAGGACAUGCAGCUUUUCUUGUAUGAUGUUCCUGUCCUCCUCCGUAUUGGCAAUCCCUCCCGGCUCUGUGUCCCACUCCCACUUCUUGUGCCAAGAUCAC
Molecule: long non-coding RNA, 348 nt
Organism: Mauremys reevesii (Reeves's turtle)
Lineage: Eukaryota; Metazoa; Chordata; Testudines; Geoemydidae
Exons: 3
Source: RefSeq, a predicted model, not a curated record